AUUAUUUUAAGCUAUAUAUUAGGAGUAAAUAAAAUUUAUGAAAUUAAAAAAUUUUGGCGGUAUUUUAAGCUUUUUAGAGGAAUUUGCUCUGUGAUGGACACAACGCCUUAAUCUUACUUAAUUUAGUAAUUUAAAUCAGUUUGUAUACCACUAUAUUAAUUAUAUUGAAUAGUUAUAUUUAAAAUUUUUUAAAAAAAAUAUAUUAAGUCAAGGUGCAUCUAAUAAUUAUGAAUGAAGUGAAUUACAUUAAUUUUAAUGUAAUUUUUUACAUGAAAAAAUUAAUUAGGAUUUAAUAGUAAAAUACUAAUAUUAUGAGUAUUUGAAUCAAGCUCUAAAAUAUGCAC
RNAcentral lists this ribosomal RNA (344 nucleotides) under Ixodes scapularis (black-legged tick). Its description in RNAcentral is "partial 12S ribosomal RNA". The record is from RNAcentral. Lineage: Eukaryota; Metazoa; Arthropoda; Arachnida; Ixodida; Ixodidae.